AAAAAAACUUCUAUGACACAGGAAAAGUUCCUGAUUUGAAAAUUUCUGAAGAGAGCUGCUGACAGAGAUAUAAAAAACACAGAAUCUUCCAUUCUAAUGGCCGUGCACCAGAGUUGGAGCGUAUCUCCUGUCGAAGAACAUCUCUAGACAUUAUGAACCAUAUGACCAUGGAUUGAAAGCUCCAACACCAAUUAAGCAGACCUGAGCAGCUGAUCAAGGAUCACCAGAAACUCUGCAGAACGUUGGUCCUCAAUGCCCA
This is a long non-coding RNA of Labeo rohita (rohu), 259 nucleotides long. RefSeq lists it as uncharacterized. The record is from RefSeq and is a predicted model, not a curated record. The transcript is spliced from 3 exons. NCBI's taxonomy places the organism in Eukaryota, Metazoa, Chordata, Actinopteri, Cypriniformes, Cyprinidae.